RNAcentral lists this long non-coding RNA (728 nucleotides) under Anser cygnoides (Swan goose). RNAcentral's name for it is "lncRNA (ENSACDG00005015149.1)". The record is from RNAcentral. Lineage: Eukaryota; Metazoa; Chordata; Aves; Anseriformes; Anatidae.
AUGUCAAUUAAGUGGACGUUUGGUCACCCCUUACAAAGAAUCAUCUCCUGCGUAGUGCUGGGUGCUGGGGGGGCUCCCAAGAACUGCUCAACAAAAUGUUACCCCUAUGCUUCACAUUCGGGCCGUGUUGAGCUCUUCCCCGAGAACGCAUCCCUGCUGCUGCGGGACCUGCGGCUCAGUGACAGCGGGGUGUACAAUGUCAGCUUUGUACAGCAACAACAAAGCAGGCACAUCACCCUGACGGUGCUUCAGCAGCCUGUCCCCACAGGCCCUUCCAGUGAAGGAACUUGUCAAGGAGCAGGAGGGAUGGCCGCACGCAUCCCUUGCUACAUCCUGGGAGGCUGCUACUGCUUCAUCCUGCUGCUCCUGCAGCUGCUCUUCCACCUGUGCUGGCUGCGGGGCAGCCGCCAGCAGCAGGGCAGACGUGGGGAAGCCUGCGGCUGCUGCUGGGGAGAGGGGAGCCAGCGUGCGGGAGCAGCCAGGGCCGGCACCCCAGGCUGGCAGCAGCAGCCGCCCCGCAGUGCCCAGGCAGAAUGAAGGCGCUCAGCUGGUGGCUCAGGGCUGCUUUUCCUCCUGGCACCUGCCCCUCUGCGGGACAAACCGGGGUCCUGGCCGCUGCCUGUCCCCAGGCACCGUCCUGCCUCCAGCGCACAACCACUCCCCACACUCACAUACCCCUUCUGUUAAAUUCCCACUCCCAUGGGCAAAUAAAAACCUUUCCUCUGGCA